UCGAAUAUGGUGUAGCGGCUAACAUUGCCGCCUUUCAGGGUGAAUUCUUGAUCGCGGCAGCCCGGGGUUCGACUCCCCGUAUUCGAA
Plicaturopsis crispa FD-325 SS-3 is the source of this 87-nucleotide non-coding RNA. Lineage: Eukaryota; Fungi; Basidiomycota; Agaricomycetes; Amylocorticiales; Amylocorticiaceae. The record is from the annotation of a GenBank genome assembly.